This is a non-coding RNA of Manis javanica (Malayan pangolin), 1636 nucleotides long. Lineage: Eukaryota; Metazoa; Chordata; Mammalia; Pholidota; Manidae. The record is from RefSeq and is a predicted model, not a curated record.
CCCAGGCUGGGACUGUGGGGGGAGAGGCAGUGCUCAGCCUGGGAGUCAGUCCCUGACAGAGCCAUGGCCUUCGGGGGGCCUGAACCCUGGGUCCCUACCUCCCUGCUGGGCCAGAGGCUGAAGACCGAGGAAAAGACGCCGGACCUGGAGUUCACGGGUUCUGCAAGAACGAUGGACAUCACGAUGCACAGCUGCGGGUGGAGGCCCUGACGCUGGGCGGGGCCUCAGGAAGUGAGGUCUGGCGUGUGGGCGAGGCCAUCUUCCCCAUCUACCCACGCCCAGACCAACCCCGCAUGAACCUUUCAGCUCAGGAGCACAAGGACCUCUAUCGCUACUGCGGCAGCCUGGCUCUGCUCCGUGCCAGUACAGACCCCACUGCCCGCCACUGCGGGGGCCUGGCUUACAGCGUGGCCUUCCGCGUGCACGGGUCCCUCAGCCUCGCACCUCAAACAGCCCUCUGGGGCCCAGCCCACCAGAGUCACCAUGGCCAGAGCCCCCGCUGCCCAGGCUGCAGGCCUGGCCUCUCCGGGAGACAAGAUGCCACACUGAGACCACAGCAGUCACUGGAUGUCAAGGGGAAGCAGCGAGGCCUACCCUGGAUGAAAGGAUGAGAAUUUCUACUUUGUACCUGCUCUGCCACCUUCCAGCUAUGGGACUCAACCUCUCCGUGCCUUCUUUCUUCAUCUAUAAAAUGAGGCUGAUGAUAAUACUCUCCUGACAGGGUUGUUCAAUUGAAUGUGCAGUAAAUUUAAAUAUACUAAAUGCUCACCAAAGAUUAGCCAUGAUCAUCACGUGGAGGGAAUGGCAGGUUGCCAGGGAGACAAGUUGAAGGGCGGAGUCUAAGCAGAGGGAGCAGCCUAGGCAAAGGCCCAGAGGCUUGAGAGAGCAUGGUUUCUUCCGGAACUCAGGGGAUGGCAAAGGGUGGUGAGUAUGAGGGCAAGUGAGCAGCCGGCCAUGGAGACACACCAGGGAGAGAGGGGGCUGGGUGUGCCCCACCCCUCACUGCAGCAGGAGGAUAGCCCAUGAAUCAUCGUUGGGAGGUGUGGGGGGUGUGGGCCAUUUGGAGCUGAGGCCCUCGGGUGGGAUGGUGGGGGGGGUGGAUAUUAUUUUAAUCUUCCUCUUAAAGCAUAAUUGCUUUUUGUCUGCGGGUGUUCCGGGAGGUGCCUCCCUGUGAGAUUGCUUUCCAGACCCCACUUCUCCAAGAGACAAGCAGGGCCAGGCCAGCUCCACGCUGCAUUAAUACACUGCAAAUGCGAUUUCAUGGCCUCAAAUGAGAUUAGGGCCAGAGGCUCUGCUCUCUGUAGAGACGGUGAAGGAGUGGGCGAGCAGCAGCACAGGGCAGAGAACCUGCGAGGGAGGGAAUGAGGGAUCCCAGGCAACUGGGCCCCAAUAAGCAGUUUCCUGUAACUGGAGCUCCUUGGACCCGUGGCCCAUCCCAGCUGCAGAGCCAGCCCUGAGGCCCUGUCCCCGUGCAGGGGGUGUUCCGGGCUGUCUCCCCCAGCCCCAAGCUCCCCACAAACACCCCCAGAAUGGAGAGGGCUGUGAUUACAAACGCAGCCUCUACAGCCAGUUGGCCUGGUCUGAAGCUGGGCUCUUCUGCCCCUGGUUCUGCUGUUUUCUCAUCUAUGAAAUGGAG